Molecule: ribosomal RNA, 422 nt
Filed under: uncultured bacterium
Lineage: Bacteria
Description: bacterial SSU rRNA
Rfam family: Bacterial small subunit ribosomal RNA
Source: RNAcentral
GAAUCUUCCACAAUGGACGAAAGUCUGAUGGAGCAAUGCCGCGUGAGCGAAGAAGGUCUUCGGAUCGUAAAGCUCUGUUGUAAGGGAAGAACACGUACGGGAGUAACUGCCCGUGCCAUGACGGUACCUUAUUAGAAAGCCACGGCUAACUACGUGCCCGCCGCCGCGGUAAUACGUAGGUGGCAAGCGUUGUCCGGAAUUAUUGGGCGUAAAGCGCGCGCAGGCGGUUCUUUAAGUCUGAUGUGAAAGCCCACGGCUCAACCGUGGAGGGUCAUUGGAAACUGGAGAACUUGAGUACAGAAGAGGAAGGCGGAAUUCCACGUGUAGCGGUGAAAUGCGUAGAGAUGUGGAGGAACACCAGUGGCGAAGGCAGCCUUCUGGCAUCAUAUUGACACUGAGGUUCGAAAGCGUGGGUAGCAAAC